AUUGAACGCUGGCGGCAUGCCUUACACAUGCAAGUCGAACGGCAGCACGGGUGCUUGCACCUGGUGGCGAGUGGCGAACGGGUGAGUAAUACAUCGGAACAUGUCCUGUAGUUGGGGAUAGCCCGGCGAAAGCCGGAUUAAUACCGCAUACGAUCUACGGAUGAAAGCGGAGGACCUUCUGGCCUCGCGCUAUAGGGUUGGCCGAUGGCGGAUUAGCUAGUUGGUGGGGUAAAGGCCUACCAAGGCGACGAUCAGUAGCUGGUCUGAGAGGACGACCAGCCACACCGGGACUGGACCACGGCCCAGACCCCUACGGGAGGCAGCAGUGGGGAAUUUUGGACAAUGGGCGAAAGCCUGGUCCAGCAAUGCCGCGUGUGGGAAGAAGGCCUUCGGGUUGGAAAACACUUUUGUCCGGAAAGAAAUCCUUGGCCCUAAUACGGUCGGGGGAUGACGGUACCGGAAGAAUAAGCACCGGCUAACUACGUG
Molecule: ribosomal RNA, 486 nt
Filed under: uncultured bacterium
Lineage: Bacteria
Description: partial 16S ribosomal RNA
Rfam family: Bacterial small subunit ribosomal RNA
Source: RNAcentral